UGAUUCCAUUUUGUUUGGGAGUGGCGUUGAUUCAAUUAAGAGGGGGCACACUGCUGCAACGUUGAUUUAAUUUGAAGUGAUGUUUUUAAUUUCUAUAGGAAUAGGUGUAGUGAUGAAUUUCCAUUUCAAACUUGAAGAGAAAGUCACGACUGAAUUAUUGGAUAACUUUUUAAAGAUGAGGAACGAUGAUUUUUAUUUUUUUUAUUUCUUUUGUUGGGAAAAACAUGUGCUGAUUUUGGCUUUGAGAGGAUGCAGCGCUGGUUCAUUUCUUUUCUUCCGAAAGUGAUGCCAAAUUUUUUUCUUCCUUUUAGAGAAGCGUUGGUUUAUUUGUGAGCACCUUUGAGGUUUCAAUUAGAUAAGGGCAGCUGCCACCUUGAUUUAAUUUUAAAGCAUUUAUUUUCUAUUAGAAGAGAAGUAGUUUAGUUAUUUUUAUUUUAUCUUUUUGUUUACGUUUCUUUUAUUUUAAAAUUUGAUUCCAUGAUAAAUAGAAUUUAACUUUUUAAUUUAAGCAUUGCAUUUUAAUAGCUUUGUUUGUGUUUGGAUAGCUAUCUAUUGCAUUGUUCAGUUUAAUGUUUUCAUGCACUUUAAUGCUUUCGAUUAUGUUUGGUUGUAUUUAAUUCCCAGUUUAAUUUAAUUUAAGUUUCCUUGCAAGAACACUUUCAACCCCCCCACUACGUGCUAGACCUAAGACUCGAACCGCAUUUGUUCGUUGAGAGACGACCUAGGAGUCACUUCCGAGUCUAUACUGCAUUCCUAAUUGCACAUCAAAUUUGCAUGGGGUGCGACACCCAUCAAAUUUUGGCGCCGUUGCCGGGGACCAACGGUUCGGUUUUAGGUCUUUUGUUGUGUUAGUGUGUGUUGUCUUGUCUUGUGUUGUGAUGUAUGAUGUUCUGUUUUGUGUGUUCGUCAUUGUGUGUUGCAUUUAGGUAACUUUAGUUGCAUAUUUUCAUUACCUUCUUCCUUUCCCCCCUUCUACAUGUCUACCUAUUUUGGUUAUGUGAGUAAUGCUUAUUCUGCCUGUGUCUAUGACUAUGAUUCUCCUUUUGCAUCUGACUCUGAUAUUGCUUCUCACGCAUAUUUUGUUGAUUUCUAUGUUGAGAAUAGUACGAUUCCUCCUCC
Molecule: long non-coding RNA, 1119 nt
Filed under: Vigna radiata
Lineage: Eukaryota; Viridiplantae; Streptophyta; Magnoliopsida; Fabales; Fabaceae
Description: long non-coding RNA (VRAD_LNC011859)
Source: RNAcentral